CAUAUUUUCAAGGUGGAAAAUGGCUCUGUAAAUUAUUUGGAAGACCCAGGAGACAAGCUACAACUGGGGAUAUUACUUGAGCACUUGUCAAGUGCUGGGCAAAUAAAACAGGCAAGACUGAUCGGAUACCUCCUGUACCCACCCUGCAAUCUAGGUGUGUGUUUUGACUGGGAAUGGAACCCACAACCCUUCACUGCACAGGAUGAUGCUUCAACCAAUUGAGCUACCGGGCCAGGGCCAGCUCCUAGUCUUUGUAAGGCCUGGCUAUUUAGUGUUUUCUUGAUUCUGGCAGAAUUUUCAUAUGCUUCCAAUAAACUUCAUUUUUUUCUCCUUAA
This is a long non-coding RNA of Myotis brandtii (Brandt's bat), 335 nucleotides long. RefSeq lists it as uncharacterized. The transcript is spliced from 2 exons. The record is from RefSeq and is a predicted model, not a curated record. Lineage: Eukaryota; Metazoa; Chordata; Mammalia; Chiroptera; Vespertilionidae.